Molecule: ribosomal RNA, 440 nt
Filed under: uncultured bacterium
Lineage: Bacteria
Description: partial 16S ribosomal RNA
Rfam family: Bacterial small subunit ribosomal RNA
Source: RNAcentral
CCUACGGGAGGCAGCAGUAGGGAAUAUUGCUCAAUGGGCGAAACCCUGAACCAGCAACGCCGCGUGAAGGAUGAAGGUUUUCGGAUUGUAAACUCCUUUUGUUAGAGAAGAUAAUGACGGUAUCUAACGAAUAAGCACCGGCUAACUCCGUGCCAGCAGCCGCGGUAAUACGGAGGGUGCAAGCGUUACUCGGAAUCACUGGGCGUAAAGAGCGCGUAGGCGGGAUAGCAAGUCAGAUGUGAAAUCCUAGGGCUUAACCAGAGAACUGCAUUUGAAACUGUUAUUCUAGAGUAUGGGAGAGGUAGGUGGAAUGCUUGGUGUAGGGGUAAAAUCCGUAGAGAUCAAGAGGAACACUCAUUGCGAAGGCGACCUGCUAGAACAUAACUGACGCUGAUGCGCGAAAGCGUGGGGAGCAAACAGGAUUAGAUACCCGAGUAGUC